UACGGGGGGGGCAAGCGUUGUUCGGAAUUACUGGGCGUAAAGGGCUCGUAGGCGGCCAACUAAGUCCGACGUGAAAUCCCCAGGCUUAACCUGGGAACUGCGUCGGAUACUGGAUGGCUUGAAUCCGGGAGAGGGAUGCGGAAUUCCAGGUGUAGCGGUGAAAUGCGUAGAUAUCUGGAGGAACACCGGUGGCGAAGGCGGCAUCCUGGACCGGAAUUGACGCUGAGGAGCGAAAGCCAGGGGAGCAAACGGG
Molecule: ribosomal RNA, 253 nt
Filed under: uncultured bacterium
Lineage: Bacteria
Description: partial 16S ribosomal RNA
Rfam family: Bacterial small subunit ribosomal RNA
Source: RNAcentral